RNAcentral lists this ribosomal RNA (465 nucleotides) under uncultured bacterium. RNAcentral's name for it is "partial 16S ribosomal RNA". It matches the Rfam family "Bacterial small subunit ribosomal RNA", at positions 28 to 507 of the family's 1533-position model. The record is from RNAcentral.
GACGAACGCUGGCGGCGUGCUUAACACAUGCAAGUCGAACGGAAAGGCCCUGCUUGCAGGGUACCCGAGUGGCGAACGGGUGAGUAACACGUGGGUGAUCUGCCCUGCACUUCGGGAUAAGCCUGGGAAACUGGGUCUAAUACCGGAUAGGAGCCAUUUUUAGUGUGAUGGUUGGAAAGUUUUUUCGGUGUAGGAUGAGCUCGCGGCCUAUCAGCUUGUUGGUGGGGUAAUGGCCUACCAAGGCGGCGACGGGUAGCCGGCCUGAGAGGGUGGACGGCCACAUUGGGACUGAGAUACGGCCCAGACUCCUACGGGAGGCAGCAGUGGGGAAUAUUGCACAAUGGGCGCAAGCCUGAUGCAGCGACGCCGCGUGGGGGAUGACGGCCUUCGGGUUGUAAACUCCUUUCGCUAGGGACGAAGCUUUUUGUGACGGUACCUAGAUAAGAAGCACCGGCUAACUACGUG